Molecule: long non-coding RNA, 1066 nt
Organism: Ictalurus punctatus (channel catfish)
Lineage: Eukaryota; Metazoa; Chordata; Actinopteri; Siluriformes; Ictaluridae
Source: Ensembl
CUUUCCUUUAAACAGUGAUGCUUUUUAGUUGCUGCCAAGUGCUUUUCCUGUGCCCCGCCCCUGUUCGCCCACAGCGCAUGUUCUUACAAUAGCUUACACAGUGCAAGAGUGCAAAUCAUUAUCAAAGUUGUCAAAAACACAGAGUUUGCUCCAGGCGAUCAUACGCCGCCCCCAUUCCCUUUCCCUGACUGUCUUCCAAAUGAACUCAUGCCAAACACAAAAUACUGGAGGGAUUUAAUCCAACCCAAGCAAGUAAGCUAUGUGCACCUGUCUAAUAACUAACACGCAUUUCCAAAUAGGUCAGACUGCCAGUAAGCCUAUAUGACAUAGUAAGCAAAGUCAAUUUUAACCAAAGCACCAAAUAGGUCGUGUCUGUCUUUGUACGGUCCCAAAGCUGUAAAUAUAUUAUGGGUUCGAGAGUGCAUGCUGGUUAAGAGAAAGCAUCAAAACAAUCAUUAAUACAUUAACUAACCAGCACGUACUCAAAAAAGCACUUAAGGUGGCCGUUAUUCAUGCAUGAAUUCAUCAGACUCACAAUAUAAGACUAGCUUUUUCAUGAUUAGUACAUGCCUUAACUCAUCAUUCGUUCAUAUUUAAGUAAGUAUUAAUUCAGGUAUUAGUGUAGGAUUAUUCAUGUACUGUUAUUGUAACGUAUUGAAGCAAACAACAAAGAAAACAUGGGUAAAAAUAAAUAAAAAAACGUUAAGUCCACCAUCAAGCGCUUAUCACUCAUUCAGUCAAAUUAUUAGUCAAAAAUAUUAUUCAAUCAUUUUAAAAUGUUUCCUUCUUUAUUUAAAUUGGUGUCAUGUGUGGUUUGGUCAAAUUUAUGCCACACUGUACGGUUGAAUUCUCAAUGCUGAUUGGUCAGAAGGUGUGAAUUUUCCAUUGCAGCAGCUCUGACACUAGUGCUGGCUGCAAUGUGCUCGUUCUAAUACGCAGUUUUUGGAAGGAGUCUCCAGUGUCGGCGCUUUGUAACAGGUAAAGCUGUUAAAUGUACAGUUUUCUGACACGGAAGAUUCUUCAGGGAAGAUGCUGUUCCGGUUUCUUGGUAAUAUAAGUAUGGAAG